Molecule: long non-coding RNA, 1431 nt
Organism: Ictalurus furcatus (blue catfish)
Lineage: Eukaryota; Metazoa; Chordata; Actinopteri; Siluriformes; Ictaluridae
Exons: 3
Source: RefSeq, a predicted model, not a curated record
GCUAUCUUUUUCCCCAUCUGUUCACAGAGGAAAUGCAGAUUGAUGGGUUUUUGUCCGAUGAUAUUGCUCCAGACUAAAAUUAGCAACUUAAUCAGCAGCCGGAAAAGGAGUAACUUCGCUGAUCACGUGUGUCUUAUGUAAUAUGAUGAUAAGCACGUUUUCUAAGUUUUCCUCACGUGCUUUUCAUGUUUUUUUUUUCUUUCUGUUAUCCCAAGCUCAUGAUUUUGGUAAGUAAAUUUUGUUGGAAAAAAUCACUAAGAGGACUAGAUUUUUCACCCAUUCUGAUUUUUGAUGUGAACAUUAACAUUAACUGCAUUAUGCUUCUGCCACAUGAUCGACUGAUUGGAUCAUUACAUGAAUGAGUCGUGGUGCACAUGUUCCUAUUAAUGUGGCUGUCGAAUAUAUGGAUGUAUGUAAUGUAAAAAUUACUUUAUGUAUUUAUUUUAUUUAUUUUUUUCAAGUGAUGACAGCAAGUACGUCUGAAAAUUUAUGGUUAUUAUUAAUUCAUUCUUCCUCAAUAACCACUUUUUCCUGCUCAGGGUCGGGAUGGAUCCGAAGCCUGUCCCCGGAACUCUGGGCACAAAGCGGAUACGCACCUUUUAUGGGAUGCUAGUCCAUUACAGGUCCAUACUUGUAAACGCAAUGACUAGACAGAGUUGGGGUCUCAGAGGUUUGGUGGACAUGACCCCUGGACCUGUUUAAAAUGCAUGUCAGGAAGUUGGGGUCAGAGCACAGGGUCAGCCAUGAUACAGCGCCCCCUGGAGCAGAGAGGGUUAAGGGCCUUGCUCAAGGGUCCAACGGUGGCAGCUUGGCAGUGCUGGGGCUUGAAGCCCCAACCUUCCGAUCAGUAACCCAGAGCCUUAACCGCCAAGCCACCACUGCCCCAGUAUUCAGUAUUAAUACAUUGCAAUUGCUUAUUUGUGGACCUUAUAGUAAAGUCCAAUAAUUGUAAGCACUGUCACUGUCAUCUGUUUUCAUUUCUCUUAUGCUGCUAUUUAUGUCAGCUCUAGAUAUCCCUGUGUAAGUUGUUAUUAUAAAAAUGAUGAAGCUGAUGUGAUAAAAAGUUAAUCAACACCUUCUCACUAAUCAAGAAUUCAAUUCAAUUCAAGCUAUAUUGACUUAUUUAACUUAAAGAUGUCAUUCAUAUUUUUACAUUUGAAUAGCAUUUUUUUUUCUUUCUCGUUUUUGGCAGCAACAGUAGGUCAAAUUUUUUUUGACAUAUGAUGUCAAAAUUCUGACACAUUAUCUCAAAAUUCUAACUUCUGAGACAAUAGGUCAAGAGUUUGAGAUAAGUCAAACUUUUUAUAUACCGCUGCUGCCAAAAAUAAAGAAACAAAAAUGUUAUCUGUGGAAGUUUUUGUGAACUGACACCAUCGCAUGUAACCCCUCAAAUGUCUUUAGGAUUUUAAUAAAACUCUGAUUGUGCCUCGU